ACGAACGCUAGCGGCGUGCCUAAUGUAUGCAAGUCGAGCGGGGUCCAGGCUUCGGCUGAAGACCUAGCGGCGAACGGUUGAGUAACACGUAGGCAACCUGCCCCAGAGUGGGGGAUAACUCGCGGAAACGCGGGCUAAUACCGCAUACGGUCCGGGAGCGCCUGUUCCCGGCACCAAAGGAGCAAUUCGCUCUGGGAGGGGCCUGCGGCCUAUCAGCUUGUUGGGGAGGUAACGGCUCACCAAGGCGACGACGGGUAGCUGGUCUGAGAGGAUGGUCAGCCAGACAGGGACUGAGACACGGCCCUGACUCCUUCGGGGGGCAGCAAUGAGGGAUAUUGCACAAUGGGCGCAAGCCUGAUGCAGCGACGCCGCGUGGGCGAUGAAGUCCUUCGGGAUGUAAAGCCCUUUUCUCGGAGACGAUCAGGACGGUACCCGAGGAAUAAGCCCCGGCUAACUACGU
RNAcentral lists this ribosomal RNA (460 nucleotides) under uncultured bacterium. Its description in RNAcentral is "partial 16S ribosomal RNA". It matches the Rfam family "Bacterial small subunit ribosomal RNA", at positions 29 to 506 of the family's 1533-position model. The record is from RNAcentral.